CAAGUCGAACGCAGUAGCAAUACUGAGUGGCAGACGGGUGAGUAACAUGUGGGAAUCUGCCUUGUGGUUCAGGACAACAUUGGGAAACCGAUGCUAAUACUGGAUAAGCCCUUACGGGGAAAGUUUUAAUGCCAUAAGAUGAGCCCGCAUUUGAUUAGUUAGUUGGUGAGGUAAUGGCUCACCAAGACAAUGAUCAAUAGCUGAUCUGAGAGGAUGAUCAGCCACACUGGGACUGAGACACGGCCCAGACUCCUACGGGAGGCAGCAGUGGGGAAUCUUGCACAAUGGAGGAAACUCUGAUGCAGCGAUGCCGCGUGAGUGAAGAAGGCCUUUGGGUUGUAAAGCUCUUUUGUAGGGGAAGAUAGUGACUGUACCCUAAGAAUAAGGUCCGGCUAACUUCGUGCCAGCAGCCGCGGUAAUACGAAGGGACCUAGCGUAGUUCGGAAUUACUGGGCGUAAAGCGCGCGUAGGCCGUUGAGUUAGUUAAUUGUGAAAUCCCAAAGCUUAACUUUGGAACUGCAAUUAAAACUGCUCGACUAGAGUUUGAUAGAGGAAAGCGGAAUACAUAGUGUAGAGGUGAAAUUCGUAGAUAUUAUGUAGAACACCAGUUGCGAAGGCGGCUUUCUGGAUCAACACUGACGCUGAGGCGCGAAAGUAUGGGUAGCAAAGAGGAUUAGAUACCCUCGUAGUCCAUACCAUAAACGAUGAUUGCUAGAUGUUGGAAAUUUAUUUUCAGUAUCGCAGCUAACGCAUUAAGCAAUCCGCCUGGGGAGUACGACCGCAAGGUUAAAACUCAAAUGAAUUGACGGG
Molecule: ribosomal RNA, 810 nt
Filed under: uncultured bacterium
Lineage: Bacteria
Description: bacterial SSU rRNA
Rfam family: Bacterial small subunit ribosomal RNA
Source: RNAcentral